RNAcentral lists this ribosomal RNA (497 nucleotides) under uncultured bacterium. RNAcentral describes it as "partial 16S ribosomal RNA". It matches the Rfam family "Bacterial small subunit ribosomal RNA", at positions 28 to 507 of the family's 1533-position model. The record is from RNAcentral.
GAUGAACGCUGGCGGCGUGCCUAAUACAUGCAAGUCGAGCGAACGGACGAGAAGCUUGCUUUUCUGAUGUUAGCGGCGGACGGGUGAGUAACACGUGGAUAACCUACCUAUAAGACUGGGAUAACUUCGGGAAACCGGAGCUAAUACCGGAUAAUAUUUUGAACCGCAUGGUUCAAAAGUGAAAGACGGUCUUGCUGUCACUUAUAGAUGGAUCCGCGCUGCAUUAGCUAGUUGGUAAGGUAACGGCUUACCAAGGCAACAAUGCAUAGCCGACCUGAGAGGGUGAUCGGGCACACUGGAACUGAGACACGGUCCAGACUCCUACGGGAGGCAGCAGUAGGGAAUCUUCGGCGAUGGGCGAAAGACUGAAGGAGCAACGCCGCGUGAGUGAUGAAGGUCUUCGGAUCGUAAAACUCUGUUAUUAGGGAAGAACAUAUGUGUAAGUAACUGUGCACAUCUUGACGGUACCUAAUCAGAAAGCCACGGCUAACUACGUG